AUCCCAGUUCGGAUUGCAGGCUGCAACCCGCCUGUAUGAAGUUGGAAUCGCUAGUAAUCGCGCAUCAGCCACGGCGCGGUGAAUACGUUCCCGGGCCUUGUACACACCGCCCGUCAAGCCAUGGAAGCCGGGAGUGCCUGAAGUACGCGACCGCAAGGAGCGUCCUAAGGUAAAACCGGUGACUGGGGCUAAGUCGUAACAAGGUAGC
RNAcentral lists this ribosomal RNA (208 nucleotides) under uncultured bacterium. Its description in RNAcentral is "partial 16S ribosomal RNA". It matches the Rfam family "Bacterial small subunit ribosomal RNA", at positions 1285 to 1500 of the family's 1533-position model. The record is from RNAcentral.